Long non-coding RNA from Oenanthe melanoleuca, 481 nucleotides. RefSeq lists it as uncharacterized. The record is from RefSeq and is a predicted model, not a curated record. NCBI's taxonomy places the organism in Eukaryota, Metazoa, Chordata, Aves, Passeriformes, Muscicapidae. The transcript has 5 exons.
GGCCAGGGAGCGCUGCACGCGGGGCCCGGCCGCGCCCUCGGGGCCGAUCACGUAGAUCACCUGGAGGUACCACUGGUGUCCAGCUUCCACCUUCACCAAGGGCGAGAGGGAAUGUGAACCACGGCUUUCACAUCAGGGGGUUCUGGUCAGAGAAGUCGUGUGAGGGAUGCUCUCUGCUUUCCCAAGAGAGGCUGGAAGCCAGGUCGCCAUCUGCUGGCUGCCAGAGAAAAUCCCACGGGGAAGCAGGAGCAGGGGACUCACCAGGAGGAGGAACCGGUGUUUCAGGGCUGUAAGAUGCUCAAAAUGUCAUUUACUGCUGUGGAAGAGUCAAAGCCACAUCUGGGCUCUGCCCUUUACCCCCAGGAAAUGGAAGCUGUGAAGGCAGAAUCACCGGGCACAAGCAGAAGGGGAGAGGAGCACUGCCCUCACCUCUGAACUUGGCCUGAGUCCUGAACUCGAUGACCAGCCGGCCGUCCUCGCG